GGUAUAGUUCUUCGGAAUUAGAGACCGGCGCACGGGUGCGUAACGCGUAUGCAAUCUACCUUUUACAGAGGGAUAGCCCAGAGAAAUUUGGAUUAAUACCUCAUAGUAUUAUGAAAUGGCAUCAUUUUAUAAUUAAAGUCACAACGGUAAAAGAUGAGCAUGCGUCCCAUUAGCUAGUUGGUAAGGUAACGGCUUACCAAGGCUACGAUGGGUAGGGGUCCUGAGAGGGAGAUCCCCCACACUGGUACUGAGACACGGACCAGACUCCUACGGGAGGCAGCAGUGAGGAAUAUUGGACAAUGGGCGCAAGCCUGAUCCAGCCAUGCCGCGUGCAGGAUGACGGUCCUAUGGAUUGUAAACUGCUUUUAUACAGGAAGAAACCCUGGUUCGUGAACCAGCUUGACGGUACUGUAAGAAUAAGGAUCGGCUAACUCCGUGCCAGCAGCCGCGGUAAUACGGAGGAUCCAAGCGUUAUCCGGAAUCAUUGGGUUUAAAGGGUCCGUAGGCGGGUUAGUAAGUCAGUGGUGAAAGCCCAUCGCUCAACGGUGGAACGGCCAUUGAUACUGCUAAACUUGAAUUAUUAGGAAGUAACUAGAAUAUGUAGUGUAGCGGUGAAAUGCUUAGAGAUUACAUGGAAUACCAAUUGCGAAGGCAGGUUACUACUAAUUGAUUGACGCUGAUGGACGAAAGCGUGGGUAGCGAACAGGAUUAGAUACCCUGGUAGUCCACGCCGUAAACGAUGGAUACUAGCUGUUGGGGGCAACUUCAGUGGCUAAGCGAAAGUGAUAAGUAUCCCACCUGGGGAGUACGUUCGCAAGAAUGAAACUCAAAGGAAUUGACGGGGGCCCGCACAAGCGGUGGAGCAUGUGGUUUAAUUCGAUGAUACGCGAGGAACCUUACCAAGGCUUAAAUGUAGUUUGACCGAUUUGGAAACAGAUUUUUCGCAAGACAAAUUACAAGGUGCUGCAUGGUUGUCGUCAGCUCGUGCCGUGAGGUGUCAGGUUAAGUCCUAUAACGAGCGCAACCCCUGUUGUUAGUUGCCAGCGAGUCAUGUCGGGAACUCUAACAAGACUGCCAGUGCAAACUGUGAGGAAGGUGGGGAUGACGUCAAAUCAUCACGGCCCUUACGCCUUGGGC
RNAcentral lists this ribosomal RNA (1137 nucleotides) under Flavobacterium sp. Its description in RNAcentral is "bacterial SSU rRNA". It matches the Rfam family "Bacterial small subunit ribosomal RNA", at positions 66 to 1214 of the family's 1533-position model. The record is from RNAcentral. Lineage: Bacteria; Pseudomonadati; Bacteroidota; Flavobacteriia; Flavobacteriales; Flavobacteriaceae.